RNAcentral lists this ribosomal RNA (1780 nucleotides) under fungal sp. RNAcentral's name for it is "bacterial SSU rRNA". The stretch from base 1 to 1093 matches the Rfam family "Eukaryotic small subunit ribosomal RNA". The record is from RNAcentral. Lineage: Eukaryota; Fungi.
ACCGUGGUAAUUCUAGAGCUAAUACAUGCUAAAAAUCCCGACUCGCGAAGGGAUGUAUUUAUUAGAUUAAAAACCAAUGCCCCUCGGGGCUUUCAGGUGAUUCAUAAUAACUUCUCGAAUCGCAUGGCCUUGCGCCGGCGAUGGUUCAUUCAAAUUUCUGCCCUAUCAACUUUCGAUGGCAGGGUAUUGGCCUGCCAUGGUUACAACGGGUAACGGAGGGUUAGGGCUCGACCCCGGAGAAGGAGCCUGAGAAACGGCUACUACAUCCAAGGAAGGCAGCAGGCGCGCAAAUUACCCAAUCCCGACACGGGGAGGUAGUGACAAUAAAUACUGAUACAGGGCUCUUUUGGGUCUUGUAAUUGGAAUGAGUACAAUUUAAAUCCCUUAACGAGGAACAAUUGGAGGGCAAGUCUGGUGCCAGCAGCCGCGGUAAUUCCAGCUCCAAUAGCGUAUAUUAAAGUUGUUGCAGUUAAAAAGCUCGUAGUUGAACCUUGGGCCUGGCUGGCCGGUCCGCCUCACCGCGUGCACUGGUUCGGCCGGGCCUUUCCCUCUGGGGAGCCCUAUGCCCUUCACUGGGUGUAGUGGGGAACCAGGACUUUUACUGUGAAAAAAUUAGAGUGUUCAAAGCAGGCAUAUGCUCGAAUACAUCAGCAUGGAAUAAUAGAAUAGGACGUGUGGUUCUAUUUUGUUGGUUUCUAGGACCGCCGUAAUGAUUAAUAGGGACAGUCGGGGGCAUCAGUAUUCAAUUGUCAGAGGUGAAAUUCUUGGAUUUAUUGAAGACUAACUACUGCGAAAGCAUUUGCCAAGGAUGUUUUCAUUAAUCAGGAACGAAAGUUAGGGGAUCGAAGACGAUCAGAUACCGUCGUAGUCUUAACCAUAAACUAUGCCGACUAGGGAUCGGACGAUGUUAUUUUUUGACUCGUUCGGCACCUUACGAGAAAUCAAAGUUUUUGGGUUCUGGGGGGAGUAUGGUCGCAAGGCUGAAACUUAAAGAAAUUGACGGAAGGGCACCACCAGGAGUUAACAAGACCGCAGUCUCUGCUCCGAAAAGUAUAGCCUGUAACGGGUUGGUGGUAUGCCUGAUGGAAUAUACUAGUCGAGAGGCGACCGCCGCUGUCACCAGCGCGGCCGCCCCCCGGCGACAUCCUCAAAUUGCGGGAAAGCCCUGUGUAAAAGCAGCUAUUACUAAACACGCCUUGAGAAAGAGCGUGCGGCAGAGCGUAACGGCUCUGGUAUAGUAAGAACAUAGCUGCCUGGGGUGAUCCGCAGCCAAGCUCCCCGCGUGGUGCCUCGGGCACAGCGGCGGAGAAGGUUCAGAGACUUGACGGGGAUGGGUGAACAGCGAUUUGCUGGAACGCCUAAGAUAAAGUCCAUGAGUGGUGCGAAAGCACCAUUCCCUAUAUCCCUAUAGUAUAAAAGGGAGCCUGCGGCUUAAUUUGACUCAACACGGGGAAACUCACCAGGUUAACUCGGCAGUUACUGUCUGGGCCUGGAACAGUGAUAAACUUCGCUAGUGCUAGGUACUCGUCUACGCGGGAGAGCCUCCCGAUUCGGGCGUAGAGCGGCGGCAUGGCCACCGUUACCUAGUGCGACACCAGCUGGGUACAGGGGACGCUACGCCUACGCUGUAGGUAUGCCAAUCCUGUGGCGAGCUCAGGUUGCUCUGAGCCGUCGCAACGCGCGCAAAGCGGUGGGCCACGCUACGGCGUUGGCUUUAAGGUACGUGCUAAUCCUGCGAGAAAUCGCAGCCUCCCUGGAGUAGGUCCGAAUAACCGAAGCA